UACGUAGGGCGCAAGCGUUGUCCGGAAUUAUUGGGCGUAAAGAGCUCGUAGGCGGUUUGUCGCGUCUGCUGUGAAAACCUAAGGCUCAACCUUGGGCUUGCAGUGGGUACGGGCAGACUAGAGUGCGGUAGGGGUGACUGGAAUUCCUGGUGUAGCGGUGGAAUGCGCAGAUAUCAGGAGGAACACCGAUGGCGAAGGCAGGUCACUGGGCCGCAACUGACGCUGAGGAGCGGAAAGCAUGGGGAGCGAACAGG
This 254-nucleotide ribosomal RNA is filed under the name uncultured bacterium. RNAcentral's name for it is "partial 16S ribosomal RNA". It matches the Rfam family "Bacterial small subunit ribosomal RNA", at positions 524 to 776 of the family's 1533-position model. The record is from RNAcentral.